This is a non-coding RNA of Malus domestica (apple), 3440 nucleotides long. NCBI's taxonomy places the organism in Eukaryota, Viridiplantae, Streptophyta, Magnoliopsida, Rosales, Rosaceae. The record is from RefSeq and is a predicted model, not a curated record.
GCUGCCAAACCUUUAAUCUCCGCUUCAAUAAUAUCCCAGUAAGAUUGAAAAAACACACCUUGGAAUCCAUCCGGCCCUGGAGCUUUCAACCUUCCCAUCUGAACCACAGCAUCUUUAAUUUCCUCAUCCGCCAAAGGUCGAGACAACAUUUCAUUCAUCUGCGCCGUAACCACAGGUUGAACACAGUCCAAAAUAUUUCCCCAGUCACGAUGCCCAUUUGAGGAGAAUAAAUUAGAAGAGUUUAAACUCAACUCCGUUCACCUACUAGAAAGAUAAAUGGAGAAUCGCAGCAAAAGAAAAAGAAAGCCGGAAUCCGACGACAUUAGCGACGACACCGCCUUCGCCGUCGUGCUGGCCGCUCUCUCAUCUCUGAACCCCAACUCCCUCCGACCCUUAAUCAAUAAAUGCCUAAACAAACUCCACCACUCGAUCACCGAUCCCACCCUCUCUCUUCUCCCAACUCUCCUCACUUUCAACUCUCCUGCAAUAUCUCGCCGUGCCGCUGAGAUGGUGGGGUCCGCCGCCCUGGAGUCCUUGGACAUGAACCAGAGGAUUGCUUCCGAUGCUGACAUAAUCAAUAGCUUGCUCUCCGCAUUGGCCAGCUCCAACACUGGCGUCUCAGUGGCUGCCUGCAAUGCCCUUCUGGAUUUGUGCACAACUGGUUUCGGACGGCGUCGUUUGCUCGAUUCCUAUGCGCUUCCCAGGAUUCUUUCUGGGUUUCUUCAGGUUCAUAAAUCUUUGGAAAAUUCAGUGUCUUUUUGCUCUGUUUCUGUGGAUAGUGGAGGAGUUAUCGCACCAAAAAUCGGGUUUAAGGGAGAUGAACUUCCAGUGUUACUUCUUAGUGCUGCAGUUCUUCUCAUCAAUACCUGUAAAAUUGAGCAAUUGGAGAACAUCCCAACAAACCUCUCUCAUGUUUUUUUCGCCUUCAUGAGAAAUCUGUGGGUGAAAGUGCGGAAUGAAAUGGUGUUCGAAAGCCAAUUAGAGUCCACCCAAGGGGGGCAUUUACAUAUUAGCAACAUUAGGAUUAGUGAUAUAGCCGAAACCCUUUUUAGGCUUUCCAUUUGUGCCUCUCAGCUUAUCAAGCCUUUGCCUUUUCAUGUGGUUGAAAGGGGUAUAUUUGGAUUCUCUGAGUCUGGUUUUAAGGAUUUCAUAUCAAAUCAGUGGGAGGUGUCACCCUUUCUUGUGCGGCGUGGGCAUCCAGAAGGGGAUUUAGUUGAGGAGAAUGAUAGUUUUGGACCAUUUGUACGAUCUCUAAACACAACGGGAGCAUUUCCUUCCUUUCUUUCUUCUAUGCUUCCGAGGAUGGUUUCUUGUCUUCCUAUUGCUUCUGAUGAAUUUAACAUCCUUACUUUCCUAGGGGAGGUGAAAAAUAAAUUGGGUUGCCCUCUAACCUACCAGCAGGACAUUCGGGUUCUAAGAACAGACGGCCACCUAAAGAGGGAGGAACAUUUUUUUCUGAACAGUUUGAACUCUUGUUGUACAAAGGAUCCUCAUUAUCUUGGUGUCAAAGAUGUUUUCAAAUGUGAAGAAGCAUACAAGGAAGGUUAUACAGUUGCACUGCGUGGAAUGGAGUUCCGCUUUGAGAGCGUUGCUGCUAUUGCAGAUGGAUUGGCAUCUCUUUUUGGUCAACCAUCAAUUGGUGCCAAUAUGUACUUGACACCCCCUGAUUCUCAGGGUUUGGCUUGCCACUACGAUGACCAUUGUGUGUUUGUAUGCCAACUUGUUGGGACUAAGAAAUGGAGACUUUAUCCUCAGUCAAAUGUGCAUUUACCUCGCUUGUAUGAUCCUCUUGAUCGGCUACAUGCUUCAGAAGUGCAGAGUUCACCAGCUGAAUGCAAACAAUUUUUGCUGAGAGAAGGUGAUAUUUUGUAUAUUCCCAGAGGUGUUCUCCAUGAGGCAUGCACCGAGAAUGUUAGUUUUGAUGGGUCUGAUGGCAAUUCCUUACACCUUACACUCGGUAUUGAGGUUGAGCCUCCUUUUGAGUGGGAGGGAUUUGUUCAUGUUGCACUCUUCAGUUGGAACCAGAACCAAAAAAAAGCUCAUAACCUUUCCGAGUAUUCAUCUGGAAUUAUUCAUGAUAUAUCUGUGAAUUUGUUGCACGCUGCUAUUGUGCUGAUUGGCGAUUCUGAUUCUACCUUCCGGAAGGCUUGCUUGGUUGCUUCGGUUUUUUCGCAAUCACAUAUCCAUAAUUGGCUUGAUUUAAACCAGCGAAUUAUUUUCUGUCAGUUGAUUGACAAAAUUAAAAUAGAGUCACAGUUCUUGAAAGUGUUCAGGAAUGUAGAAUUAGCAAUUCAGAAAAGCGAAGAUCCUUUCCAACGAAUUAGAUGGCUUGGGUUUCUUAAUACGGAGGAGGAAAGCAGUCCAAAUUGUGAACAGAAUAUGCAUUUGAUGGGGAUGAAAAACUUGUUCACAUUGUGCAGUCAACAUAAAGGCAAGGUGGAAGCUACAUUCCAGCAGCUAACAUCUAGGUUUAGUAGUGAGGUGAUAUUUGAUGAUGCAAUAGAAAGGUAUAAGAUACUGCUAGAGACAUAUAGAAGGGCCAGAAAGCAAUAUAUGAAUGGGAUGGUUUCACUGCAUUAUGAAUUAUGAGUUUAGAGACAUUCGCUUCCUCCUCUCUGUUCAUAAUUAUAGCUAGUUCUGACAGUGUGAGACCCUGAUGGAAGGGAAUGAAUCAGCUCCGUCUUGCACAGUGGGAUCUGAUUCAUACGUCAAUGAUCCAGCUUUAUACCUAAUGUAGCCAGUUUACGGUUAAAGUGCCAUUCUAUAACCUAUGGCUCAAGCCGGUCGUCUUCCUGGGAGAGAAGCCCGUGAAGCGGAAUUGAUCUUGUGGGAAGAAAGAUAGAGACCUGUUAUAAGGAAACAGAAGAUGACGAUACACAAAGAUUUCAUCAUUUAUACAGCUGAAAUGAAAAGCUUCCUAUACUUAGAGCAGUUCCAACGUGGGAACACCCCUCCCCCCCAAAAAAAAACCCCAAAAAAGGCAAUACACUAUGCUAUCCACCCAGUGAACAGUAACUGUCCUUAAUUAACAGUAAUCAUCUUUUGCAUCUCCACCGUUGCAUUUCAAUAGCCUUGACAAUAAGCAAUAAAAUAUUAGUAUAAUACAAAAUAAUUUUUUUUGUAACUUCGAAUAAGAUUUUUAAUCGUUCUCGUUGCUCCACUUGUCAUAAUCCGAAAAAAACAAUUAUUGGUGAUGGAUUUCCGAUAAGAUUAUUAACCAAUCACGUCGCGCCAUGUGUCAUAAUCUGUUUACAAUCUUUGAGGAUAGAUUUCCAUUAGAUUUUUAAUGAAUGACGGCAUGUCACGUGAUAUUAUCUACAACCUAAUCCUUUCUGAAUUCUCCAUAUAAUCAUCCCCCAUGCAUCCUCACAAAUCUCACACCAAUUUUCUUAAGAUUUCUAUCAUUAUUCAUAGUUUUUGCUUCCUUCUUCACCAAAAUU